RNAcentral lists this ribosomal RNA (301 nucleotides) under uncultured bacterium. Its description in RNAcentral is "partial 16S ribosomal RNA". It matches the Rfam family "Bacterial small subunit ribosomal RNA", at positions 509 to 807 of the family's 1533-position model. The record is from RNAcentral.
CAGUAGCCGCGGUAAUACGUAGGGUGCGAGCGUUAAUCAGAAUUACUGGGCGUAAAGCGUGCGCAGGCGGUUGUGUAAGACAGGUGUGAAAUCCCCGGGCUUAACCUGGGAACUGCGCUUGUGACUGCACAGCUAGAGUAUGGCAGAGGGGGGUGGAAUUCCACGUGUAGCAGUGGAAUGCGUAGAGAUGUGGAGGAACACCGAUGGCGAAGGCAGCCCCCUGGGCCAAUACUGACGCUCAUGCACGAAAGCGUGGGGAGCAAACAGGAUUAGAUACCCGUGUAGUCCCUGUCUCUUAUAC